UACAGAGGUCUCAAGCGUUGUUCGGAUUCAUUGGGCGUAAAGGGUGCGUAGGCGGCGCGGUAAGUCGGGUGUGAAAUCUCGGGGCUUAACUCCGAAACUGCAUUCGAUACUGCCGUGCUUGAGGACUGGAGAGGAGACGUGGAAUUUACGGUGUAGCGGUGAAAUGCGUAGAUAUCAAGCGGAACACCAGUGGCGAAGGCGAGUCCCUGGACAACACCUGACACUGAGGCACGAAAGCUAGGGGAGCAAACAGG
This 254-nucleotide ribosomal RNA is filed under the name uncultured bacterium. Its description in RNAcentral is "partial 16S ribosomal RNA". It matches the Rfam family "Bacterial small subunit ribosomal RNA", at positions 524 to 776 of the family's 1533-position model. The record is from RNAcentral.